CAGUACCGUGAGGGAAAGGUGAAAAGCACCCCGGAAGGGGAGUGAAAUAGAACCUGAAACCGUGUGCUUACAAGUAGUCAGAGCCCGUUAAUGGGUGAUGGCGUGCCUUUUGUAGAAUGAACCGGCGAGUUACGAUUUGAUGCAAGGUUAAGCAGUAAAUGUGGAGCCGUAGCGAAAGCGAGUCUGAAUAGGGCGUUUAGUAUUUGGUCGUAGACCCGAAACCAGGUGAUCUACCCUUGGUCAGGUUGAAGUUCAGGUAACACUGAAUGGAGGACCGAACCGACUUACGUUGAAAAGUGAGCGGAUGAACUGAGGGUAGCGGAGAAAUUCCAAUCGAACCUGGAGAUAGCUGGUUCUCUCCGAAAUAGCUUUAGGGCUAGCCUCAAGUGAUGAUUAUUGGAGGUAGAGCACUGUUUGGACGAGGGGCCCCUCUCGGGUUACCGAAUUCAGACAAACUCCGAAUGCCAAUUAAUUUAACUUGGGAGUCAGAACAUGGGUGAUAAGGUCCGUGUUCGAAAGGGAAACAGCCCAGACCACCAGCUAAGGUCCCAAAAUAUAUGUUAAGUGGAAAAGGAUGUGGCGUUGCCCAGACAACUAGGAUGUUGGCUUAGAAGCAGCCAUCAUUUAAAGAGUGCGUAAUAGCUCACUAGUCGAGUGACACUGCGCCGAAAAUGUACCGGGGCUAAACAUAUUACCGAAGCUGUGGAUUGUCCUUUGGACAAUGGUAGGAGAGCGUUCUAAGGGCGUUGAAGCAUGAUCGUAAGGACAUGUGGAGCGCUUAGAAGUGAGAAUGCCGGUGUGAGUAGCGAAAGACGGGUGAGAAUCCCGUCCACCGAUUGACUAAGGUUUCCAGAGGAAGGCUCGUCCGCUCUGGGUUAGUCGGGUCCUAAGCUGAGGCCGACAGGCGUAGGCGAUGGAUAACAGGUUGAUAUUCCUGUACCACCUAUAAUCGUUUUAAUCGAUGGGGGGACGCAGUAGGAUAGGCGAAGCGUGCGAUUGGAUUGCACGUCUAAGCAGUAAGGCUGAGUAUUAGGCAAAUCCGGUACUCAUUAAGGCUGAGCUGUGAUGGGGAGAAGACAUUGUGUCUUCGAGUCGUUGAUUUCACACUGCCGAGAAAAGCCUCUAGAUAGAAAAUAGGUGCCCGUACCGCAAACCGACACAGGUAGUCAAGAUGAGAAUUCUAAGGUGAGCGAGCGAACUCUCGUUAAGGAACUCGGCAAAAUGACCCCGUAACUUCGGGAGAAGGGGUGCUCUUUAGGGUUAACGCCCAGAAGAGCCGCAGUGAAUAGGCCCAAGCGACUGUUUAUCAAAAACACAGGUCUCUGCUAAACCGUAAGGUGAUGUAUAGGGGCUGACGCCUGCCCGGUGCUGGAAGGUUAAGAGGAGUGGUUAGCUUCUGCGAAGCUACGAAUCGAAGCCCCAGUAAACGGCGGCCGUAACUAUAACGGUCCUAAGGUAGCGAAAUUCCUUGUCGGGUAAGUUCCGACCCGCACGAAAGGCGUAACGAUUUGGGCACUGUCUCAACGAGAGACUCGGUGAAAUCAUAGUACCUGUGAAGAUGCAGGUUACCCGCGACAGGACGGAAAGACCCCGUGGAGCUUUACUGUAGCCUGAUAUUGAAAUUCGGCACAGCUUGUACAGGAUAGGUAGGAGCCUUUGAAACGUGAGCGCUAGCUUACGUGGAGGCGCUGGUGGGAUACUACCCUAGCUGUGUUGGCUUUCUAACCCGCACCACUUAUCGUGGUGGGAGACAGUGUCAGGCGGGCAGUUUGACUGGGGCGGUCGCCUCCUAAAAGGUAACGGAGGCGCUCAAAGGUUCCCUCAGAAUGGUUGGAAAUCAUUCAUAGAGUGUAAAGGCAUAAGGGAGCUUGACUGCGAGACCUACAAGUCGAGCAGGGUCGAAAGACGGACUUAGUGAUCCGGUGGUUCCGCAUGGAAGGGCCAUCGCUCAACGGAUAAAAGCUACCCCGGGGAUAACAGGCUUAUCUCCCCCAAGAGUUCACAUCGACGGGGAGGUUUGGCACCUCGAUGUCGGCUCAUCGCAUCCUGGGGCUGUAGUCGGUCCCAAGGGUUGGGCUGUUCGCCCAUUAAAGCGGUACGCGAGCUGGGUUCAGAACGUCGUGAGACAGUUCGGUCCCUAUCCGUCGUGGGCGUAGGAAAUUUGAGAGGAGCUGUCCUUAGUACGAGAGGACCGGGAUGGACAUACCUCUGGUGUACCAGUUGUCGUGCCAACGGCAUAGCUGGGUAGCUAUGUGUGGACGGGAUAAGUGCUGAAAGCAUCUAAGCAUGAAGCCCCCCUCAAGAUGAGAUUUCCCAACUUCGGUUAU
This 2327-nucleotide ribosomal RNA is filed under the name Staphylococcus aureus. RNAcentral describes it as "bacterial LSU rRNA". It matches the Rfam family "Bacterial large subunit ribosomal RNA", at positions 496 to 2830 of the family's 2925-position model. The record is from RNAcentral. Lineage: Bacteria; Bacillati; Bacillota; Bacilli; Caryophanales; Staphylococcaceae.